Molecule: unclassified non-coding RNA, 246 nt
Filed under: Hevea brasiliensis (rubber tree)
Lineage: Eukaryota; Viridiplantae; Streptophyta; Magnoliopsida; Malpighiales; Euphorbiaceae
Source: RNAcentral
GGAGAAUAUAACACAAUUCAUGUAAAUUCAUGCAUAAUUUUUUUUUAUUUCUAAAAGAUAAAUAGUUUUUAGAGAGUAUUUUGUUUGUUCACUUUUCUCACUUGUCUAACUGAAAAUGAUGAAAUGUGGGAGCAUUGGGUUGUGGGAAAUAAUGCGAAAGGUGUUUGAAGGUAUGAGGAUUUUGACAGAAUAGGCUUAUUAGGAGUGGAGGAAAGAACUUUUCCUUUCUGCUAAACUCACAACGGG